This 732-nucleotide long non-coding RNA is filed under the name Phoenix dactylifera (date palm). RNAcentral's name for it is "long non-coding RNA (PDAC_LNC018436)". The record is from RNAcentral. Lineage: Eukaryota; Viridiplantae; Streptophyta; Magnoliopsida; Arecales; Arecaceae.
CGGCACGUACUCCGAAGAAGAAGGGUCGCUCCCUUUCUUCAUUAUUUUCUUCCCUGUUCAUCACCUCACCCACCGAGAAGAAAGAAAAAGCAAAACCCUCCCGUCGGUCGACUGUCUUCCGGCGUCAAUCCACAGAUCGCCUUCGCAAGACGCCGCCGCCGCCCUCUCUUCCCACCGCCGCUGCCUCCGACGCUCUCGCCCUUUCUUUCCCUCCUUCUCUCGGAUCUCACGCAGUGAAGAAAGGCACUGUCGCCGGAAAACCCCAAGGCAGCCCGGGAGGCAAAUAAGCCGGCCUCCUCGUCAAUUUCUCCUCCGAUUGUCACUGUGCAAGCAUCACCCACCGCAUCCGUUUCGCCGCGCCGCCGAUUCGCCUUCGGUCGCCGCCGUGCUUCCCCGGGGGUUUCGGCAGCAGCUUGCUGCCACCGACCGUGGCCGGACCAAGUGAAGGACGUCGCCGCCCCGUUCACUGCCGCACCAGCACCCCGCUCCACCGGCGCAACGUCUUCCCGCACCCACCGCCGCAAAAUCAGGCGAGAUCCGGCGGAAGCGGACGGACGGUCGAAGGUGGAAGACGAUCCACAGUACGGGUAAGAUUUCGACCCGUUAACCCAUAACCCAUUAGCCCGAACCAAUUCAAAAAAAAAAAAAUUCAAAAUUCAAAUUUCAAUAUUGCGGAUCGGACUAUCUUAACGGGUUGGGUCUGUUAACCCGAUAACCCGAAUCCACUUGGGU